AUGCAGGUGCAGCUGGACAUUCUCCUGAGCUAAAAGCAUAUUCAUUUAGUCCCGUCAAACGGAUUAUUACUUUUGCUGCAGCUAAUAUAAAGGGAGUUUGACCAUUUUGGCUGACUGAUGCAGGAUUUUCACAAGAGUCUUCAAAACACUUUCUUGUUAAACUCGAUCUCAAAUCAAGUAAGACUACCCGCUGAACUUAA
Molecule: unclassified non-coding RNA, 200 nt
Filed under: soil metagenome
Description: partial contains internal transcribed spacer 2 and large subunit ribosomal RNA
Source: RNAcentral